UGUAGGGUAGCUCGGUUGGUAGAGCAUGAGGUUCUUAAUCUCAGGGUCGUGGGUUUGAACCCCACCUUGGGCAA
Molecule: non-coding RNA, 74 nt
Organism: Podarcis lilfordi (Lilford's wall lizard)
Lineage: Eukaryota; Metazoa; Chordata; Lepidosauria; Squamata; Lacertidae
Source: the annotation of a GenBank genome assembly